CCUACGGGAGGCAGCAGUGAGGAAUAUUGGUCAAUGGACGAGAGUCUGAACCAGCCAAGUAGCGUGAAGGAUGACUGCCCUAUGGGUUGUAAACUUCUUUUAUAUAGGAAUAAAACGAGGCACGUAUACCUUUUUGCAUGUACUUUAUGAAUAAGGAUCGGCUAACUCCGUGCCAGCAGCCGCGGUAAUACGGAGGACCCGCGCGUUAUCCGGAUUUAUUGGGUUUAAAGGGAGCGUAGAUGGGUUGUUAAGUCAGUUGUGAAAGUUUGCGGCUCAACCGUAAAAUUGCAAUUGAUACUGGCAGUCGUGAGUACAGUUGAGGUAGGCGGAAUUCGUGGGGUAGCGGUGAAAUGCUUAGAUAUCACGAAGAACCCCGAUUGCGAAGGCAGCUCACUAAACUGUGACUGACAUUGAUGCUCGAAAGUGUGGGUAUCAAACAGGAUUAGAUACCCUUGUAGUC
RNAcentral lists this ribosomal RNA (460 nucleotides) under uncultured bacterium. RNAcentral describes it as "partial 16S ribosomal RNA". It matches the Rfam family "Bacterial small subunit ribosomal RNA", at positions 338 to 795 of the family's 1533-position model. The record is from RNAcentral.